AUACGGAGGGUCCGAGCGUUAUCCGGAUUUAUUGGGCUUAAAGGGAUCGUAGGCGGAUGGUUAAGUCAGUUGUGAAAGUUUAAGGCUCAACCUUGAAAUUGCAGUUGAUACUGGCCGUCUUGAGUGCGGUAAAUGUGGGCGGAAUUCGUGGUGUAGCGGUGAAAUGCUUAGAUAUCACGAAGAACUCCAAUGGCGAAGGCAGCUCUCAGGACUGUAACUGACGCUGAUGCUCGAGAGGGUGGGUAUCAAACAGGAUUAGAUACCCUGGUAGACCGCACAGUAAACGAUGAAUAGGCGCUGUUUGCGAUAUACAGUAAGCGGCCAAGCGAAAGCGUUAAGUAUUCGGCCUGGGGAGUACGCCGGCAACGGUGA
RNAcentral lists this ribosomal RNA (372 nucleotides) under uncultured bacterium. Its description in RNAcentral is "bacterial SSU rRNA". It matches the Rfam family "Bacterial small subunit ribosomal RNA", at positions 523 to 897 of the family's 1533-position model. The record is from RNAcentral.